UUGAUAUAAGCUUAUUUAAGCAUUUUAUUGUUAAUAAAAAGAAAAAACUUUCUGUUUAUAUCAAG
RNAcentral lists this transfer RNA (65 nucleotides) under Tanystylum orbiculare. Its description in RNAcentral is "tRNA-Asn". The record is from RNAcentral. Lineage: Eukaryota; Metazoa; Arthropoda; Pycnogonida; Pantopoda; Tanystylidae.